AACGAACGCUGGCGGCAUGCCUAACACAUGCAAGUCGAACGGGAUCCUGGUUUCGGCCAGGUGAGAGUGGCGGACGGGUGAGUAACGCGUGGGAACCUGCCCAGUGGUGGGGGAUAACUGCGGGAAACUGCAGCUAAUACCGCAUGAGCCCGAAAGGGGAAGAUUGAUCGCCAUUGGAGGGGCCCGCGUUCGAUUAGGUAGUUGGUGAGGUAACGGCUCACCAAGCCUUCGANCGAUAGCUGGUCUGAGAGGAUGGAUCAGCCACACUGGGACUGAGAUACGGCCCAGACUCCUACGGGAGGCAGCAGUGGGGAAUAUUGGACAAUGGGGGCAACCCUGAUCCAGCAAUGCCGCGUGAGUGAUGAAGGCCUU
This 372-nucleotide ribosomal RNA is filed under the name uncultured bacterium. Its description in RNAcentral is "bacterial SSU rRNA". It matches the Rfam family "Bacterial small subunit ribosomal RNA", at positions 29 to 418 of the family's 1533-position model. The record is from RNAcentral.